GGUCCCUUCGUCUAGUGGCCUAGGACAUCAGGUUCUCAUCCUGAAGAUCGCGGGUUCGAAUCCCGCAGGGAUCACCA
RNAcentral lists this transfer RNA (77 nucleotides) under Candidatus Saccharimonadota bacterium. Its description in RNAcentral is "tRNA-Glu". It matches the Rfam family "tRNA". Rfam says of the family: Transfer RNA (tRNA) molecules are approximately 80 nucleotides in length. Their secondary structure includes four short double-helical elements and three loops (D, anti-codon, and T loops). Further hydrogen bonds mediate the characteristic L-shaped molecular structure. tRNAs have two regions of fundamental functional importance: the anti-codon, which is responsible for specific mRNA codon recognition, and the 3' end, to which the tRNAs corresponding amino acid is attached (by aminoacyl-tRNA synthetases). tRNAs cope with the degeneracy of the genetic code in two manners: having more than one tRNA (with a specific anti-codon) for a particular amino acid; and 'wobble' base-pairing, i.e. permitting non-standard base-pairing at the 3rd anti-codon position. Lineage: Bacteria; Candidatus Saccharimonadota. The record is from RNAcentral.